This 377-nucleotide ribosomal RNA is filed under the name uncultured bacterium. Its description in RNAcentral is "bacterial SSU rRNA". It matches the Rfam family "Bacterial small subunit ribosomal RNA", at positions 30 to 406 of the family's 1533-position model. The record is from RNAcentral.
AUUGAACGCUGGCGGCAUGCCUUACACAUGCAAGUCGAACGGCAGCACGGACUUCGGUCUGGUGGCGAGUGGCGAACGGGUGAGUAAUAUAUCGGAACAUACCCUAGAGUGGGGGAUAACGUAGCGAAAGUUACGCUAAUACCGCAUACGAACUAAGGUUGAAAGCGGGGGAUCUUCGGACCUCGUGCUCAUGGAGUGGCCGAUAUCUGAUUAGCUAGUUGGUGAGGUAAAGGCUCACCAAGGCGACGAUCAGUAGCUGGUUUGAGAGAACGACCAGCCACACUGGAACUGAGACACGGUCCAGACUCCUACGGGAGGCAGCAGUGGGGAAUUUUGGACAAUGGGGGGCAACCCUGAUCCAGCAAUGCCGCGUGAGU